This 444-nucleotide ribosomal RNA is filed under the name uncultured bacterium. RNAcentral describes it as "bacterial SSU rRNA". It matches the Rfam family "Bacterial small subunit ribosomal RNA", at positions 337 to 797 of the family's 1533-position model. The record is from RNAcentral.
UCCUACGGGAGGCAGCAGUAAGGGAUAUUGCGCAAUGGGCGAAAGCCUGACGCAGCAACGCCGCGUGGAGGAUGACGGCCUUCGGGUUGUAAACUCCUUUUGACCCGGACGAGGAAGGACGGUACGGGUCGAAGAAGUCACGGCUAACUACGUGCCAGCAGCCGCGGUAAAACGUAGGUGGCAAGCGUUAUCCGGAUUUACUGGGCGUAAAGCGUGUGCAGGUGGUUGUUCAAGUGGUGUAUGAAAUCGCUCGGCUUAACCGGGCGGGGUUAUGCCAGACUGAGCAACUGGAGUACGGGAGAGGGGCGUGGAAUUCCGGGUGUAGUGGUGAAAUGCGUAGAGAUCCGGAGGAACCCCAGCGGCGAAGGCGGCGCCCUGGCCCGUAACUGACACUCAGACACGACAGCAUGGGGAGCGAACGGGAUUAGAUACCCCUGUAGUCCC